Molecule: ribosomal RNA, 474 nt
Filed under: uncultured bacterium
Lineage: Bacteria
Description: bacterial SSU rRNA
Rfam family: Bacterial small subunit ribosomal RNA
Source: RNAcentral
UUAUGGCUCAGGAUGAACGCUGGCGGCGUGCCUAACACAUGCAAGUCGAGCGAUUACUUCGGUAAAGAGCGGCGGACGGGUGAGUAACGCGUGGGUAACCUGCCUCAUACACAUGGAUAACAUACCGAAAGGUAUGCUAAUACAGGAUAAUAUAAGAGAUUCACAUGGAUUUCUUAUCAAAGCUCCGGCGGUAUGAGAUGGACCCGCGUCUGAUUAGCUAGUUGGUAAGGUAAUGGCUUACCAAGGCGACGAUCAGUAGCCGACCUGAGAGGGUGAUCGGCCACAUUGGAACUGAGACACGGUCCAAACUCCUACGGGAGGCAGCAGUGGGGAAUAUUGCACAAUGGGCGAAAGCCUGAUGCCAGCAACGCCGCGUGAGUGAUGAAGGCCUUCGGGUCGUAAAACUCUGUCCUCAAGGAAGAUAAUGACGGUACUUGAGGAGGAAGCCCCGGCUAACUACGUGCCAGCCGCAGC